This is a small nuclear RNA of Mesocricetus auratus (golden hamster), 160 nucleotides long. Its record names the gene U1. It matches the Rfam family "U1 spliceosomal RNA". Rfam says of the family: U1 is a small nuclear RNA (snRNA) component of the spliceosome (involved in pre-mRNA splicing). NCBI's taxonomy places the organism in Eukaryota, Metazoa, Chordata, Mammalia, Rodentia, Cricetidae. The record is from Ensembl.
ACACUUACCUACAGGGGAAAUACCAUAAUUAUGAGGGUUAUUUUCUGGGGAUGAAACUCAUCUGUUUUACUCUGGGCAUGCUGUCUCCUGUGAUUCUUCAAAUGUGGAAAACUUGACUGUAUAAUUUGUGGUAGUGGGAAAAUAUGCCCAUGCUUUCCCC